ACGAAGGGGGCUAGCGUUGUUCGGAAUUACUGGGCGUAAAGCGCGCGCAGGCGGCCAUUCAAGUCAGGGGUGAAAGCCCAGAGCUCAACUCUGGAACUGCCCUUGAAACUGUAUGGCUUGAGUAUGAGAGAGGUGAGUGGAAUUCCCAGUGUAGAGGUGAAAUUCGUAGAUAUUGGGAAGAACACCGGUGGCGAAGGCGGCUCACUGGCUCAUUACUGACGCUCAGGCGCGACAGCGUGGGGAUCAAACAGGA
This 253-nucleotide ribosomal RNA is filed under the name uncultured prokaryote. Its description in RNAcentral is "partial 16S ribosomal RNA". It matches the Rfam family "Bacterial small subunit ribosomal RNA", at positions 525 to 777 of the family's 1533-position model. The record is from RNAcentral.